This 497-nucleotide ribosomal RNA is filed under the name uncultured bacterium. RNAcentral describes it as "partial 16S ribosomal RNA". It matches the Rfam family "Bacterial small subunit ribosomal RNA", at positions 28 to 507 of the family's 1533-position model. The record is from RNAcentral.
GAUGAACGCUGGCGGCGUGCCUAAUACAUGCAAGUCGAGCGAACGGACGAGAAGCUUGCUUCUCUGAUGUUAGCGGCGGACGGGUGAGUAACACGUGGAUAACCUACCUAUAAGACUGGGAUAACUUCGGGAAACCGGAGCUAAUACCGGAUAAUAUUUUGAACCGCAUGGUUCAAAAGUGAAAGACGGUCUUGCUGUCACUUAUAGAUGGAUCCGCGCUGCAUUAGCUAGUUGGUAAGGUAACGGCUUACCAAGGCAACGAUGCAUAGCCGACCUAAGAGGGUGAUCGGCCACACUGGAACUGGGACACGGUCCAGACUCCUACGGGAGGCAGCAGUAGGGAAUCUUCCGCAAUGGGCGAAAGCCUGACGGAGCAACGCCGCGUGAGUGAUGAAGGUCUUCGGAUCGUAAAACUCUGUUAUUAGGGAAGAACAUAUGUGUAAGUAACUGUGCACAUCUUGACGGUACCUAAUCAGAAAGCCACGGCUAACUACGUG